Molecule: non-coding RNA, 231 nt
Organism: Vicia faba (fava bean)
Lineage: Eukaryota; Viridiplantae; Streptophyta; Magnoliopsida; Fabales; Fabaceae
Source: the annotation of a GenBank genome assembly
AUGCCUGGGUCAGAAACUCGUUAUUUGAUUCAGAGUUAUAAAGCUGUAUGUUCCAAAUCUAUAUGUGGGGCUAUUCAUGGGUUUUUGGCUAUUAAGCAACUGGGUUGUUUUAUUGGAGACAAAAAACAUGAAAAGUAUAAAAACCCUAGAGAUUCAUCUGAUAUUCGGGUUGAGGAUCUUAUUAGCAGGGUGACUCUUGUGGAGAAAAUUGGUCAAAUGUUACAGGGAUGA